UGUGACCUGGAGAGAGAUGGUCACGG
Molecule: non-coding RNA, 26 nt
Filed under: Rattus norvegicus (Norway rat)
Lineage: Eukaryota; Metazoa; Chordata; Mammalia; Rodentia; Muridae
Source: RNAcentral